CUACGGGUGGCUCCAGUGAGGAAUAUUGCACAAUGGGGGGAACCCUGAUGCAGCAACGCCGCGUGGAGGGUGACGCAUUUCGGUGUGUAAACUCCUUUUAUAUGUCAAGAAAAUGACGGUAGCAUAUGAAUAAGCACCGGCUAACUCCGUGCCAGCAGCCGCGGUAAUACGGAGGGUGCAAGCGUUACUCGGAAUCACUGGGCGUAAAGGACGCGUAGGCGGGUUGGAAAGUCAGGUGUGAAAUCCUACAGCUUAACUGUAGAAAUGCACUUGAAACUUCUAAUCUAGAGUAUGGGAGGGGAGAUGGAAUUAGUGGUGUAGGGGUAAAAUCCGUAGAUAUCACUAGGAAUACCUAAAGCGAAGGCGAUCUCCUGGAACAUUACUGACGCUAAGGCGUGAAAGCGUGGGGAGCAAACAGGAUUAGAUACCCUUGUAGUC
Molecule: ribosomal RNA, 438 nt
Filed under: uncultured bacterium
Lineage: Bacteria
Description: partial 16S ribosomal RNA
Rfam family: Bacterial small subunit ribosomal RNA
Source: RNAcentral